Molecule: ribosomal RNA, 254 nt
Filed under: uncultured bacterium
Lineage: Bacteria
Description: partial 16S ribosomal RNA
Rfam family: Bacterial small subunit ribosomal RNA
Source: RNAcentral
CGUAGGGGCAAGCGUUGUCCGGAUUUAUUGGGGCGUAAAGGGCGCGCAGGCGGCCUUCUAAGUCAGUUGUGAAAGGUCUCGGCUCAACCGAGGAGUGGCAGCUGGAACUGGAAGGCUUGAGUGCAGGAGAGGAGAGCGGAAUUCUCGGUGUAGCGGUGGAAUGCGUAGAGAUCGGGAGGAACACCAGUGGCGAAGGCGGCUCUCUGGCCUGUAACUGACGCUGAGGCGCGAAAGCGUGGGGAGCAAACAGGAUU